UAUUUAUCGAGUUAAUUUUGUCCUCUCGCCACAGCAUGAACCAACUGAGCCCUGACCCUGACUUGCCUCCUGCUCCCAGGCUGUGCCAGGCACAGGAUUGCCUCCUGUGGGGACGAGAGAGGUGCUUCAUGAUAUUGUGUGAGCUUCUAAUAAACGUCCAGUAAACCGCAGGUAGCGCCUCGGAGAGAGAUGGGCCCGUGCACCUGUCCACAUAGAGCCUCCACGCACCGCGCCUUCACCUUCUGCGGCCCAGCCCUGGCGUGCUCAGCUCCAGAGCCCAGCCUGCCCCUCGGGAUGCCCGCAGCUUGUUAUAUUCUUGGAGCCCUUCAGAUCUGGCUGGGGAUCAUCUUCUGGAAGACUGGCCCGCCGACCUCUUGCCAGGGAGCCGAGGACAAGAUUAGUUUUAAGCCUCAGCCUAGUCAGUUG
Molecule: long non-coding RNA, 426 nt
Organism: Callithrix jacchus (white-tufted-ear marmoset)
Lineage: Eukaryota; Metazoa; Chordata; Mammalia; Primates; Cebidae
Source: RefSeq, a predicted model, not a curated record